UUUUAUAUAGUUUAAAUAAAACAUUAUACUUUCAUUAUAAAAUAAGACUACCUCUUGUAAAAU
Molecule: transfer RNA, 63 nt
Filed under: Curculionidae sp. BMNH 1040049
Lineage: Eukaryota; Metazoa; Arthropoda; Insecta; Coleoptera; Curculionidae
Description: tRNA-Glu
Source: RNAcentral